UUUCAUUCCUUUUAGGUUAUUUCUGGGACAUGUUUCAUGGUAUUGGGAGAACAGCUUGGUGGCCUACUACAGCUAAGAUAUAAGUUAGCUUCCAGUUUGACCACAAGGAUUGGGACUGGAAAUGGCAAUUGGAGCAGACUUUUAUGGAUGGUAUUUACUGUGACUGCAUAAAAUAUCUGUGUAAUCAAUUCUGUAAAUAAGUAAAAGAAUGUAAUUGAAGCAAUAAUUUUUUUUAGUGUUUUGAGAAAAAGAAAUUGUAAUGAUUCUCCAUUUUGAAUCGAUCAGAAGUUUGAAUUACUGGGUAACUUAAAUUUAUAAUUUAGAAAAAUUUCUUAUUGUCCCUGGUAUAAAAUGGCUAAUCUUUUAUAACUUGUGUUGAACAGAUGGUCCUUGUCUAGUUAACACUUCCAGUCGUUCAGAAUGGAGAAUCUAACAGAAGAGAGAAAAAGAGAAAAUAAAACCAAUGUUAAUUUUUUUUUAGUAUAUUUUGCAAACAGCAUAGUUUAAAAAGAACA
Mytilus californianus (California mussel) is the source of this 515-nucleotide long non-coding RNA. RefSeq lists it as uncharacterized. The transcript has 3 exons. The record is from RefSeq and is a predicted model, not a curated record. NCBI's taxonomy places the organism in Eukaryota, Metazoa, Mollusca, Bivalvia, Mytilida, Mytilidae.